CACCCCCCCUUCCUCCUCCUCCGUUUCGUUUUGAAAAGAAAAAAAAAACACCCCUCAAACCCCCCUUAAACCCCUCGAUCCAUUUACAUCGUUUAGGCGAUCUUUGAAGGAGAUUUAAGCCCCAUUCGAAGCAUGGACAAGCAACUAGUGAUUUGGGACGAAGAAUCAGCCGCAAAGGUACGUGUUCCACCUUGUUUCGAAUUUUUUUUUUUUCACGGUUCGUGCUCCGUUCGGCACUGGAUCGCCGAACAAAAGGCUUCUGUUCGGCUGAACAGUGCCGAACAGAAGCCUUCUGUUCGGCAACCCUCAACCGAACAGAAGGGGUUCUGUCCGGCUCUGUGCCAGCCGAACAGAAGCCUUCUGUUCGGCACUGUGCAGCCGAACAGAAGGC
Molecule: long non-coding RNA, 391 nt
Filed under: Phoenix dactylifera (date palm)
Lineage: Eukaryota; Viridiplantae; Streptophyta; Magnoliopsida; Arecales; Arecaceae
Description: long non-coding RNA (PDAC_LNC019154)
Source: RNAcentral